Molecule: long non-coding RNA, 4160 nt
Organism: Gallus gallus (chicken)
Lineage: Eukaryota; Metazoa; Chordata; Aves; Galliformes; Phasianidae
Source: Ensembl
AGAUCCACGAAAUGCCAACCACAGGGAAUCACAGAUUUGAUGAUGUAGCUUCUGUAUGGGUAUCCAUGGGUUGCAUGGGUAUAAAAUGUUUCGGAUUUAAAGGAUAAGUAAUCAACCAAAUUCUUGCAAGUGGUCAGUUGGCUCUGCAGACUGCAGAUAAGGGAAGAAGCAAAGAAAAAUGUUGCUGCCCUAUAUAUCGGAAAGAUCUCCCUUCACAGAAUCAGCUGUCACAGAACUUGGAUCAGCCCUCUUCAUAAAGGCCUCAGCUAAGAGAACAAAACCACGCAGCUCACUCAAGACCAUGCUGGGAAUUGUACUUCUCAACUGUCACCACUGUGUGCCUUUGACACUCUUUGGACUACAAAGAGUGUGGGGAACAAGAAAAGGCCAUCAGAUGCAAGUCUUCCAGCCCCUUUCCAGGUAGGUCCAUCUUUAACUUGCUGAAGUUUGGUGCUCCCCAGUACAUACACAUAAUUCUGCUUUCAUCUGCAAGAAGCUUCUGUCAAAGAGAGGUGGAUUCCAGAGGUUGAAGAGGUUAAAAUAAAUGAAGAAUGCAUUUAACUUCAAGAACUUAAGUAAUUCCACUGGAACCAAUAAGACUAUUCAGAGCAGGGACUGGUUCCAAAGCAGUUAUGUUGACAGUGAAGUUGCAGUAUCUUAUUAUAUUUCUGGUAGAAUAUGACAGCCCAAGAGCCAUGACGUUACACAGUACUUCUAGGAUCCUAAGCAUGGCUGCAGCAUUAUAGAGGAUUGUCCUGGUAUAUCUUCAUCAACUACAUCAAGGCUUCUUUUGCCAGAAGAAAUAAAGAAUAUUCUGAAACUACAGAGAGUUCAUAGGCAAUGGGGCAAUACCACGGAAGGAUUAAGUGAACAAAACUUGCUCUCAGAAGCUGACACUGAAUAAAUCCUGAUGAACCCCACGCACACCUUCCAGGAAUGAGAUGACCUGCACCCAUUCCAAGUAAGAAACUUUUCUCUUUUAGCAGUGGAGGUGCCAAGCAAUUUUAGUGGGAAGCAAAAUCCAGCAACAACCAAAGGACAUUUGUACAGUUUUUUCAGUUUAUUUUAUAGAAUCUCAAAUUGUUGAACCUGGAAAACAUCUCUGGAGAUCAUCUAGUUCACCGCCCUUACUCAAAGAGGAGUCAGCACAGUACUGUGUCCAGUCAGGCUUGAAUAUCUCUGAGAAUAAAGACUUCACAACCUCUUUGGGAACCUCUUUCAGUGUAUUAUCCCAGCAGCACAUCCGUGUAACAUACUAGCCACUCUUCCCAAUUUCGUAUCAUCUGCAGACUUGCUGACUGGCUUGACCAAGCCAAUCACUGAAGAAGGCUAUCAGGUUUGCCAAGAAAGAUUUCCCCUGCAUAAAAUCAUGGUGACUGCUCCCAUUUGACUUGUUGUUCUUCAUAUGUCUGGAAACAAUUCCAGCAUCAUUUGUUCUAUCACUUUCCCGGUGAUCAAGGUAAGACAGACUGACUUGUUUUUUCUCAGAUCCUCCUUGCCAUUCUUUAAGAUGGGAAUGAUAUUUUCUUUCUUCCAGUCUAUGGGAACCUCUGUCUAUUACCAUUACCCUUCCAGGAGUGACUCUAUGAUGAUGUCAUUCAGCCUUCUUAGCAGUUGUGGGUGUAUCCCAACAGACACCAUAUAUUGUGCAUGUUCAGCUUAUGUAAAUGUUCCCUAACCUGAUCCUUCUCCAUCAGGGGUAAGUCUCCCUCACUCUGGACUUUCCUGUUGGUUUUGGAGGCCUGGUCUUACCAAUAAAGAUCAAGAUGUAGAAGGCCCUGACUGCCUUGUCCUUUUCUGUGUCUUUUGUCACCAGAUCAAUCUCUCCACUCAGCAGCAAACCCAUAUUUUCCCUAGUCUUUCUUUUGCUGCUGAAGAAUCUGGAGAAACAUUUCAUGUUGGCUUUCACCUCCCUCACCAACUUCAACUCCAGAUAAGCUUUGGCUUUCCUAAGUACAUCCCUGCAUGCCCAAACAGAGUCUCUGUGUUUCUGCUGUGUUCAUUCACAGAGUUUUCCCUGAACACCCAUCCAACACAGUGCUCUUGAAGGUAGUAUUUCUGUUGUCCAGAUGCACCAGGAUCCAUUUGGUGUUGUGUUUUUUAGUAUAUGAAAGAGACAGAUGAAGUGGAGCCUAGACAUAUUCUGCUGAAGCCUGUGAAAAAGAGCCUGUCUUGGCCUGCACCUCUAGUAUGGCAAAACAUCAUCCAGACAUCAAAGGGAAGAAGAGAGGAACAAAUACAGGAAGGUAAUUUUCAUGGAAAUCCCCUGAACUGUUUUCAUUCCUCUAGUUUCUGUGAUGAACAUUCAGAAGGUUGCCUCCAAUUUAUCAGUUUGAUGAGGGGAAAGAGAUCACAUUCUCCAAAGCUCUGCUCAUUCCAGACCCCCACAAGAAAUGUCAGUAACCAUGGAAGGAAUGUGCAGAUACUCACAGUGAGGUCACUUCCCAUGGUUGCCACCCACUGGAUCAGGCUGCUCAGUGUCCCAUCCAAACUGGCCUUGGACACCUCCAUGGAAGGGACAUCCUCAGCUUCUCUGGGAAGCCUGUACCUCACCACUCUUAAAAUAAAGAAUUUCUUCCAAAUGUCUAAUCUCAAUCUACACUCUUUUAGUUUUAAACCAUUACCCCUUGUCCUAUCACUGCAUUCUCUGUUAAGGAGUGUCUCUCCAGAUUUCCUAUAGGCCACUUUAGGUACUGAAAGACCACAGUGUGGUCUCCAUGGAGCCUUCUUAAAGCUGAACAAGCCCAACUGUCUCAGCCAGUUUUCACAGAAGAGCUCCCACACUGAAGGAUCUCUGUUCACUACCAUGACAGAACCAUAUACUGACCACAGCAUCUUAUAUGGCCACAGUAGAAACUGUCAAAAGCACAGAUUCUUUUUUGAAGAAUGUCAUCUAGGCUGGGUCAAAUUAAUCAAAAUGUAGGUCCUCCUCUUUCUUGGAUACACAAUGGGCAGUGUGUACAGUACAUGAAAUAAAAAAACAGUUCACAUUGUGGUUUUUUGUUUUUUGUUUUUUUUAUCAAUAAGUUCAUGCUUGGUAUAAUGUUGAUAGGUAUCCUUGCCUUAUUUUGACAUGCUUCAAGUGGUGUUGCGAAACAUGAGCACAAAAGUUGACCACAAACAUUGUCACGGUCUUACCUCUAGAACAAUAAUUCCCACAAAAUGUAAUGCCCAUUGAGCAGCAAUACUCAAAUAAAAAGGAAUUUUAUAAACAGAGCUUAGAAAGUCCAUUAACUGGGAUGCAGCAAGUGGGCUUCAGUGAAGACUGGUGCUCUGCAGUUCUUUCAUUGCUGAGGGCAGCAUUACUGGAAACAUCUUCAGUUUAUAUCCCUGUAAACAGAUUUCUGUGCUAAGGAUAAACGAACUGGGAGCUACACUCUCCCCAUGGCUGUUUGGCCAGUAUGAGUCCAUUUCAUCUUGUGUGGGGCAUUUGUGAAAUAGAGCUGCCGAAGCAUUUCCAUGAAAGUCAGUGAUUGCCUAAUCCCUUGCAAGUGUACUCUUCAGAAGUUAGACCAAUUUCGGCUUCUCUUUUAUUUGCGAACAUUGCAGCAAAUCUUUCCUUCUUGUUUUUGGUCUCCAGCCCACUCUAAUUCCAGUGACUCAUACUGUGGUGAAAAUAGGUUAUGUGACAGACAGAAAUGUUGGUUUUACUGUUUCAGAGAUAAAAGAAGUACAGUUUGAGCCCUCUGUGUGUGACCCAAGGUAGCAAGUGCUUAGGUAUUUGCCGCAUGAAGACUAAAUGCAUACAGCUACAAUGUGAGUAGUCUGGCAUGGGAGAAGUGAGGAUGCAUUCUGCAUUGACUUUUCUCCCCAGGAGGGACAGAGAAAUAAGGGAAAGGGAAGAAGAGAAGGGGAUGGCAUCUCUUUAGGUUUCUCUCAACUCCACUUUCCUUAAUGUACAAUACAUACUGAAAUACAUGCUGAAAUGAUUUGGAGAAUGUGCAUCUGUUAUUAAUGUGACAUUUCAGGGCACUGAUAAUUUGACUCUGGAAGUGAUUUUAGUUAGAAGGCCUCAUUAUGUAUCUUUCCCUCACUUGCGGAAGUGGAGUUGUGGUGAAGGAGAUUCUGUGCAAGAAAUGCCAACUACAAGACAGGAGGUCUCAAUAAAUUUACAAGAAAAGUCAAGCUAUGAUUAAAGAUGUGUCAUCGAGCUCUCUCAU